UUGUGAUUGAAAAUGCUAAACAAGAACUUAAAAAGAUGAGACAAAAGCACAGAGAGGUUAAAUGACUUGUCUAAGGUUACAUAGAUGAAAAGUGGCAGAGCCAGGAUUCAAACCCAGCUCCCUGUGAUCUCAUGAUGUGGUUGAAUUAGUGGUCGUGGGAACAUCUACACCAGGGAAAUUGAAACACUUGGAAAAGUACCUAUCCAAGGUCUUGGAAGCAUGAAGAACCAUCCCUUAACAACGUGAGCCAACCGUCUAUAAUUUAGUCAUUUGCAGAAUGAGGAACUUCAUGUAGAUGACCUCUGAUUCCUUCCAUCUCUAACAUGAUAUAUUUCUCUCACUUCAUAGAC
Eptesicus fuscus (big brown bat) is the source of this 350-nucleotide long non-coding RNA. RefSeq lists it as uncharacterized. Lineage: Eukaryota; Metazoa; Chordata; Mammalia; Chiroptera; Vespertilionidae. The record is from RefSeq and is a predicted model, not a curated record. The transcript is spliced from 4 exons.